RNAcentral lists this ribosomal RNA (497 nucleotides) under uncultured bacterium. Its description in RNAcentral is "partial 16S ribosomal RNA". It matches the Rfam family "Bacterial small subunit ribosomal RNA", at positions 28 to 507 of the family's 1533-position model. The record is from RNAcentral.
GAUGAACGCUGGCGGCGUGCCUAAUACAUGCAAGUCGAGCGAACAGACGAGGAGCUUGCUCCUCUGACGUUAGCGGCGGACGGGUGAGUAACACGUGGAUAACCUACCUAUAAGACUGGGAUAACUUCGGGAAACCGGAUCUAAUACCGGAUAAUAUAUUGCUCCGCAUGGUUCAUUAGUUAAAGACGGUUUUGCUGUCACUUAUAGAUGGAUCCGCGCCGCAUUAUCUAGUUGGUAAGGUAACGGCUUACCAAGGCAACGAUGCGUAGCCGACCUGAGAGGGUGAUCGGCCACACUGGAACUGAGACACGGUCCAGACUCCUACGGGAGGCAGCAGUAGGGAAUCUUCCGCAAUGGGCGAAAGCCUGACGGAGCAACGCCGAGUGAGUGAUGAAGGUGUUCGGAUCGUAAAACUCUGUUAUUAGGGAAGAACAAAUGUGUAAGUAAAUAUGGACGUAUUGACGGUACCUAAUCAGAAAGCCACGGCUAACUACGUG